GAUUCCUACGGGAGGUAGCAGUGGGGAAUCUUCCGCAAUGGGCGCAAGCCUGACGGAGCGAUGCCGCGUGAACGAAGAAGGUCUUCGGAUUGUAAAGUUCUGUCCUUAUCGAAGAGAGGGUAUAGAGAGAGAAAUGAUAUACUAGGACGGUAGAUGAGGAGGAAGCCCCGGCUAACUACGUGCCAGCAGCCGCGGUAAUACGUAGGGGGCGAGCGUUGUCCGGAAUCACUGGGCGGAAA
RNAcentral lists this ribosomal RNA (239 nucleotides) under uncultured bacterium. Its description in RNAcentral is "partial 16S ribosomal RNA". It matches the Rfam family "Bacterial small subunit ribosomal RNA", at positions 334 to 564 of the family's 1533-position model. The record is from RNAcentral.